Molecule: ribosomal RNA, 253 nt
Filed under: uncultured bacterium
Lineage: Bacteria
Description: partial 16S ribosomal RNA
Rfam family: Bacterial small subunit ribosomal RNA
Source: RNAcentral
UACGGAGGGUGCGAGCGUUAAUCGGAAUUACUGGGCGUAAAGGGCGCGUAGGCGGCCCGCUAAGUCGAACGUGAAAUCCCCGAGCUCAACUCGGGAACUGCGUCCGAUACUGGUGGGCUUGAAUCCGGGAGAGGGAUGCGGAAUUCCAGGUGUAGCGGUGAAAUGCGUAGAUAUCUGGAGGAACACCGGUGGCGAAGGCGGCAUCCUGGACCGACAUUGACGCUGAGGAGCGAAAGCUAGGGGAGCAAACGGG